CCUACGGGUGGCAGCAGUGAGGAAUAUUGGUCAAUGGGCUUACGCCUGAACCAGCCAAGUCGCGUGAGGGAAGACUGCCCUAUGGGUUGUAAACCUCUUUUGUCAGGGAGCAACGCCGGCUACGUGUAGCCGGACUGAGAGUACCUGAAGAAAAAGCAUCGGCUAACUCCGUGCCAGCAGCCGCGGUAAUACGGAGGAUGCGAGCGUUAUCCGGAUUUAUUGGGUUUAAAGGGUGCGUAGGCGGUCCGUUAAGUCAGCGGUAAAAUUGCGGGGCUCAACCCCGUCGAGCCGUUGAAACUGGCAGACUUGAGUUGGCGAGAAGUACGCGGAAUGCGCGGUGUAGCGGUGAAAUGCAUAGAUAUCGCGCAGAACUCCGAUUGCGAAGGCAGCGUACCGGCGCCAGACUGACGCUGAGGCACGAAAGCGUGGGGAUCGAACAGGAUUAGAUACCCGUGUAGUC
This 460-nucleotide ribosomal RNA is filed under the name uncultured bacterium. RNAcentral's name for it is "partial 16S ribosomal RNA". It matches the Rfam family "Bacterial small subunit ribosomal RNA", at positions 338 to 795 of the family's 1533-position model. The record is from RNAcentral.